UUUCCGUAGGUGAACCUGCGGAAGGAUCAUUAUUGAAUGAAACACUUCUGGCUUUAUGCUGUUGUGCUGCCCUUUGGGCAAUGUGCACACGGCUCUGGUCACUUGUUUCUUCUGUUCCACCUGUGCACUGCCUGUAGACACGCUGUGUCUAUGAUAUUUGUUAACACACAACAAUGUUAGUUGGCAUGUUAUAUAUAAUAAUAAAAUAUACAACUUUCAACAACGGAUCUCUUGGCUCUC
RNAcentral lists this unclassified non-coding RNA (240 nucleotides) under plant metagenome. Its description in RNAcentral is "partial contains small subunit ribosomal RNA, internal transcribed spacer 1, and 5.8S ribosomal RNA". The record is from RNAcentral.